Oncorhynchus gorbuscha (pink salmon) is the source of this 500-nucleotide long non-coding RNA. RefSeq lists it as uncharacterized. The transcript is spliced from 3 exons. NCBI's taxonomy places the organism in Eukaryota, Metazoa, Chordata, Actinopteri, Salmoniformes, Salmonidae. The record is from RefSeq and is a predicted model, not a curated record.
UUUUAUAGACAGGACUACAGUAUAUCAACGAUAACACCACCCGUCACAGAAGAGGUUUUAUAGACAGGACUACAGUAUAUCAACGAUAACACCACCCGUCACAGAAGAGGUUUUAUAGACAGGACUACAGUAUAUCAACGAUAACACCACCCGUCACAGAAGAGGUUUUAUAGACAGGACUACAGUAUAUCAACGAUAACACCACCCGUCACAGAAGAGGUUUUAUAGACAGGACUACAGUAUAUCAACGAUAACACCACCCGUCACAGAAGAGGUUUUAUAGACAGGACUACAGUAUAUCAACGAUAACACCACCCGUCACAGAAGAGGUUUUAUAGACAGGACUACAGUAUAUCAACGAUAACACCACCCGUCACAGAAGAGGUUUUAUAGACAGGACUACAGUAUAUCAACGAUAACACCACCCGUCACAGAAGAGGUUUUAUAGACAGGACUACAGUAUAUCAACGAUAACACCACCCGUCACAGAAGAGGUUUUA